UCGCUCUCCGACUCCGGCAUCGACGAGGUCGCCAUCCUCUCACCCCCGUCGCGGAGGAACCCAUCAGCCUCCCUCGAACCGGAACUACUUCCGCCGCCGCCCCCCGGGGAAAGGCAGAUUUGCGGAGUUUCAGAAGGUCUCUCAGAGGACUCAGAACCGUCGUCGGGCCCAAAAGGACUCUAGAAGUUUGUACGUUGCCUAGUAUUGGGGCUGCGGUCAGCUGGGCCCGGGGACUACUUUCUCUCGUGGCGGAUGGCUACACGGGAAGUGGAGUGACGUCACGCAGGUCCCAUCCUAGGCUCCCAGGACGAGGCGCGGCGGAGGCUCCGAGCUCUCGUGGGCGUGGCCUCCAGCGUCUAGCCACACCUCCAGGGGUCGCUUAGGGAACCGCAGCGACCUAGGAUGGCUUAGAGGCGUUCAGAGGGGAGGAGACGUCAGUGUUUUUCUUGGCUUUUCACCUAUAGCUUAAAGGUCCUCUCGAUCCGGAUCGGGUCCUCCGGGGUUAGGUUUGCUGUACCGUGGGGAGGGAGCGUAUACAGAUGGGAAAACAGAUUUGAGGACAGGAAAGGCUGAUCCGGAGUCACAGCUAAGGCGACUUGGCAGAUAGGGAGGUCAGGGAGUUUUGGAGAUUUAAUGCUUGGACCAUGGUGCACUUCGAGCUGUAUUUUUUUUUUUUCUUUUUUUCGGAGCUGGGGACCGAACCCAGGGCCUUGCGCUUCCUAGGCAAGCGCUUUACCACUGAGCUAAAUCCCCAACCCAUGUAUUUUUUAACAUUAUUAGGACUGUAGGUUCAGACACCCAGCUGUCCUCUGGUCAUUGUAGAUAGUGUAGGUGUGUUUAGAAGUUGGGGAAUUAGCUCAGUGGCAAACAUGAGGCCCUGGGUUCGAUUCUUAGCAUACACACGUGCGCAGUAUUAGGUAUUUUUAGAAGCCUGCAGUUCUUGGGCCCACUGUGGUGGCUUAGACUUUUAAUCCAGCACUCGGGAGAGGCAGGCUAACCUCAUUUGAGUUCACAUAGACCAGCUGGGGCUACGUAGUGAGUUUUUCCCAGAAUCCGCAUGGUAAAAGGAGAGAACAGUCUCUUCCAGGCUGUCCUCCCACCUCCACAUGCUUUUUGUCGCAUGUGUGCCCUCACAGACAUAACAAUAAAUAAAUGCUUAAAGCCGG
This 1166-nucleotide long non-coding RNA is filed under the name Rattus norvegicus (Norway rat). RNAcentral's name for it is "long non-coding RNA NONRATT018881". The record is from RNAcentral. Lineage: Eukaryota; Metazoa; Chordata; Mammalia; Rodentia; Muridae.